GCGUGACUCUGGAAAUGCCAGAAAUGGAUUCUACAGGUCAAAGUGCACCCAUACGUGUGAGUUUGACGUCAUCCCGGCUAAAGGGAGCUCCUUAUUGGCCAAGUAUUACGUAACACAAGUGCGUGUGAGCAUAGUUAAUAUAAUGAGAGGGUUUGGAAGGCCGGCAAACUUCAAAGGAUAACGCCCCCUUUCGUGAGCUGAACUCGAUAGAGGGCAUCACGUGACAGUUAUAGUGCAUCAUGGCGUGAUUCUAUAAUACAAUUCCCUAUUGACAACUUAGAAAUCUUUAAUUUUCGCUCGUUAUACGAGGUUUGGGUGGAAUACGAGGUUUUAUCGCAAAUCUCCAUCGUAAGUGGCAACUUUUGAGACGUUUUUAUGUGUGAUAACCCAAAUUGCUGACGCUGUGUAUAGUAUCAAUUUCAAUUGAAGCGAAGUCAUACUGCUAAAGCCGUUCGAAAUGGUCGUUGAAAACGCACGUUUAAGGUUUGGAAUCAUGGAAAUAGAUGAGGAAAUUGAUACUGAGCGUUUAGAAAGCUCUUGUUCACCUUUGAGGACGAUUUAGAGUAAACAACUGCGCUUCUCGAGAUGGACGUGGAUGAAGUUCAGAUUGAAGUUCAACAGGCGCUUGAAGAGGUAUGAAAUAUAAAAUUUAGACGAUGAUUUUUAUACAUAUAUUACUGUAAACAUAGAUAUUUACCUAAUGAAUAUUUUCCCUUUCAAUACAUCGUCUCUAGAUUGAAGGAAAGAAACAGUUUCCUUGCAGAUUUGCAGUUUCUGUGAGAAAGUUUGCAAAUCCAAAGGUGGCCUGACAAGACACCGCGACGCAGUAUGAAACAUGUUGCAGAAUUCGGUGAGGGAUCUUCUACAUUUCAAACAGUGAUAUUAGUAGAAAAAGUUGCCGAAUUAAUACGUGAUAUCGGUCCACACUUGGUUCAGUUGGUUGACGAAAAACUGUAUAACGUAUGCCCUACUUUAGUAUUUACUCUGUUUAACGCCAGGCGAUUUUACCUGUCAAGGGAAGCAUCUAAGAUAAUAUUUCUGUGCCACCAAAGGGCAGUCUCACUCUCAGAGCCAACCAAAUGUAAUUAGAAUAAUUAAUCAUAGAUUCUUGUUUGAAUUUUAGGAAGAAUUGUCUUUGUCACCUCAGGAGCUUGGACCAUUAUCAUAUUUGACUGGAUAUGUGAUAAGAUCUUUAUACCAGAGAAGCAAGAACUGUUAUAGGAGCAAUUCUUCCUGGAACAAAGAAGUCCAAGCCUCGAUGUCAUCAAUGCGACAGGACACAGAGGCCAAUAAAUACAUUUCAUCCUUGUUGAGGGGUGGACUUUGGUCACCACACUCAUGGAUUGUAAGCAUUGCAAGGUGUCAGAGUUAAUAUUUAAAACACACAUCAAAUAAAGACAAGGUUACUGUCUACCAGUAGACACAAUUGUGAAUGAAGUCCUAACUUCUCCUCUUGUGACAAACUUGUGGUGCAACAUUAUUCAAAACUGUGAUGUAGAAACUUCCAUGGAAUGUCAAUCUUUAUGUUUAGAGAAUGUUCAGUCAAAUUAUAUGUAACUGUAAGAUGUUUUCCUUUGCUAAGGAUAUUGUAAAUAAAUAUAAGAUAAGUCAGGGUACACAGAAAAAGAAAGCUUUAUGAAAAGACUUGAAGACAGGCACAGAUUUUCCGGGGGUGGGAACCCCCCCCCCCAGAAAUGAUUUGCACCCUCCAGAGGCAUUUGGCACCGCCCCCAAAAGUCUUGGCACUCCCGCAAAUUAUAUAUAUUUUGAUUUGAUAGUUUCAUAUUUGAUUAUUCUUACUAAAUUUGUAAAAUUACCAAUAUUAUGGUCUCAGAUGAUCAGAUCUCACCAUGCAGGCCUAGAAAACAAAUUGUGUUAAACUUUUUCCUUGGCCUUUCCGGGUGUUGCCACCAGGCCCCGGCCUUUCAAAGCAAACAGCACCCCCCCCCCCCAGAUAUUUAUCCACACACCCCGAACGAAAAUAUGAAAAUCCGUCUCUGCUUGAAGAUUGCCAGUGAAGAAAAGAAAUAGUCAGGUACAUAAUACAAUAACGUUAUAUCAAUGAUAUUAAAUGUAAAUAUGAUACUGUAUCAAUGAAUUAUCCUCAUAUUUUUAUGUGUAAUCUUUUCAUCAACACAUAGUAAUAACAACAAUAUAUAAAUAUAUACACACAGCUUAAACUACUUUCUCUCAAUUAUGUAAUGUUCAGCCAAAUUUAGUCAUGCAGUUUAAAUAAGCUAAUUGGAGAUAAUAGGCUAACAUAUCUCAAUGUGCUCUUUUAUUCUUUUACUCUGUCAGUGUCUAUCAUCAGACAAUUUUACACAUCAAGGGCAGUGCAUAUUAAGCAUUGCAGCUUAAAGAGUUAAAAUCAUAUGGCAUCAGACAAAUGUUAAAACGAUAAAGUAGGAGCAUUGUGGCUUAAUUAAACAUACAUUGUGUAGUGUAUGAUUUGAGCAUAAUACAAAUUACAUUGCACUUCUAGCUUGGCUGUGGAAUUAAUAACACUAUUGCAGCAAUUUUUGCUCCACCUACUUUUGAUAAAUGACAAAUUUUCAGAAAAUAAAUAGAUACAUACACAGUAAGAACACUCAUGUCAUUCUUAAGUUAACUAAUUGGCAAAUUCCUAUUUAUCAGAAGAAAAUUAACAAUAAAAUCAGCCAAUCUCGUACCACACAACGAUGGGCUCCGGGGACAGCAUAAACAAAGUGUAAAAAGCCUGAGACUUACACUGUAAAGUCUUAUUAUUAAACUAUAAAGUCUUAAGAAUAAUGUCUAAAUAAGUACAUUUCAUAUUCCUCUUUCUUGAAGUGCUUCUCGCAAACAUACAACGUCCCAUUUUUGAUUUGCCUUCGCAAAUUUUCAUCCACUACGCGGUCCUUUGUAAUUAUGUUGCUCCACGCUUCACGAGUUUUCGUUGAUAAUGCGUCUUUUCCUGAAGGGAUCCGAAAAAUUCCAACUCCAGCACUAUUUCGACAUGUACCACAGCCGAUAUGGAGCAAUUCGCUCCCGGCAUCGCGGAAAAUUCAAUGAAAUUUAAUGUUUUUAGGCUCUGUUUGGCUUAAAC
This is a non-coding RNA of Paramuricea clavata, 3064 nucleotides long. NCBI's taxonomy places the organism in Eukaryota, Metazoa, Cnidaria, Anthozoa, Malacalcyonacea, Plexauridae. The record is from the annotation of a GenBank genome assembly.